Molecule: ribosomal RNA, 253 nt
Filed under: uncultured bacterium
Lineage: Bacteria
Description: partial 16S ribosomal RNA
Rfam family: Bacterial small subunit ribosomal RNA
Source: RNAcentral
UACGGGGGGAGCAAGCGUUGUUCGGAUUUACUGGGCGUAAGGCGCGUAGGCGGCCACCGCAAGUCGAUUGUGAAAUCUCCGGGCCUUAACCCGGAAAGGUCAACCGAUACUGCGGGGCUAGAGUGCAGAAGGGGCAACUGGAAUUCUCGGUGUAGCGGUGAAAUGCGUAGAUAUCGAGAGGAACACCUGCGGCGAAGGCGGGUUGCUGGGCUGACACUGACGCUGAUGUGCGAAAGCUAGGGGAGCGAACGGG